Marmota monax (woodchuck) is the source of this 3551-nucleotide long non-coding RNA. RefSeq lists it as uncharacterized. The record is from RefSeq and is a predicted model, not a curated record. The transcript is spliced from 2 exons. Lineage: Eukaryota; Metazoa; Chordata; Mammalia; Rodentia; Sciuridae.
GUGAUUAAAGUUCAAAGAUCUGACACCAGCAAGUGCUGGCAAGGACCCGGAGCACCUGGAAUUCCCACACAUGGCUGGCGGGGAGGAAAAUGGCACAGCUGCUGUGGCAGUUUCUCAAACAGUGUGACCCAGCAUCCUGCUCCUCCGCGUCUACUCAAGAGGAAUGAGCACAUGUCCACACAAAGACUCACACAAGCAGCUAUCUGUAAUGGGCCCACGCUGGAAACAGCUCCUGUGUCCAUCACAGGGGAGUGGUAUGCAAACUGUAAUGUUCCAACCCUGAGGAUCGCCUCUCAGCAGCACCACCCGCUGGCACUCAGUCCCAUGAGGAAUCUCCAAGUCAUGCAGAGAGGAAGGAAUGUGCUAGCCAGUCUCCGCCUUAAGAGGAGAGCAUGGCGGUGUGGCCGAUGGUAGAAGGAGAGUGACUAGGGAGGGAAGGACGUUGCCUCGGAGAACCACUGCAGCAGUGCAGGCAAGGGAAGAAGAGGGGUCACACUAAGGAGAUGGGCAGAGAGAGGGACGUGAAUCAACCCAGACGCGGACAGGGGCAUGCGACUGGAAGAGAAGGGGCAUCACAGAUGGAGGAGGCAGGCCUUUGCCGCUGUGGCCUGGCCAGAAUCCAUUGUCUCUUCUGGAAGUAGACCCCACGUUCCCUGUGGGAACAUUCCUCACCCCUCUGCCCCUACAGUCCAAGAGCGGCUCUGCCACAGCCCAAGGCGGGAGGCAGGUAACUGGGUCCUGGCCAGUGGACACCCAGCUCCCCCUACAGUGGAGGAUUCUGUUUCAAGGCUGUUUCGGGAGAGUUAUAGGAACCAGGCUUGGCCCACCAUGCAGUCCCAUCCCAGGGUACGGAGAUGGGUUCCGGAGUGAACUCGGCAGGAGUUAUCAGAGGCUGGGAGUAGAAGCCAGUGGACAUGAACCUGGAGUUAUAAACCUGGAGCUGCCAGGGUGCAGGGAGGGCCUGCCCCCAGAGAAGCACCCUGGAGACAGCCAGCCUGAGAGUGAAGGGAGCCAGGUCCUGAGGACACCACUGGAGCCCUGGACUUCGUGUCAGUCUGUCCAGAGGUUCAUUUGCUCACUUAGGUCACUUGCAACAGGUAUGCCCUCGACUGCUCCAUAAGGUGGAGAGACAGAAGAGCGCAGAGGGUCACCUUAGACACGCUGAGCACCCAAGUGGCAGUGUUGGUGAGACGAGACUUGGGAGCCCUUCUCUUGGUCCUUGAAAUAAACUGUGGAAUAAAUGACAGUGCCCAGAGAGGGUGGGAAGCCAGAGGUGGCUGCGGCCAGCGCCCUGGGGAGACCUCAGGAUAAGGCUUCAGGGGGAGGAGGAGGCAGCAAAGGUCAAUAAGGGGAGGAGAGACCUGGCAUAAGAGUCAGCCCCGCCCCAGGUCAGGUUGAGCAAGACCAAAAAGGAGCCAGUGGAUCUGGAAACUAGGCCAUCGGUGACCUUCCCAGCCCUUCUGGGAGUGCUGGGCCAGAAGCCAGCCUUGGUGUUGAAAUGGAUUCAAAGGUGAGGGGGAGGGAAUCUGACCUUGAGAGGAAGGAGGAAAGGUGGUUAGUGUUUUUCCAUUUAGGUGUUUUUUGAAGGGCAGGGAGUCGAGCUUGCUUGUGGAAAAGAGAGAGAUUAGGCAUGGGAUGGAAUCCCAGAGGCCCCCUGCCUCCUGCUGCAGAGUGGUGUCAUUUGACGUGAGUUCAACAUGAAGAUUAUUAGUGAGACAUUCUACAUUAUUUUGUACUAGAUCUUCAAAGCUGGCCAGCGAGGCACAUCAGCGCUGCGGCGGAGCUGUUCCACCAAAUUCAGGGAAAAUGCUCUCGGAUCCUGGGCCGCCGGGCACGCAGGGCCUGGGGCCAGAUGUGCUACGCUGGCUCCAGAGCCUGUGCCCAGCUCAGGGCCUCUGUCCUCAUUGGUGAGCUCCUUACCUGCUCCCUGUCCAGUCCCAGUGAAGCCAACUGUGGCCCAAGACUGAAGCCCUGUGUGACAUCCCAGUAUAGACAUUGCCCUUUGUGAGGCCCAGGAUGUGUGCCCUGUUCUCAAGCUGGAGCGCUCCGACUUCAGAGACCCGCUGCCAGUGAUGUUGGAGGGCACGGAUGCCCUUCUCUGGGCUGGAUCAAGCUGAACCAGACCCAGGAGUGUUGGAUGUGGGGCUUGGUCAGAGCCAUGUGGGGCGUCUCCUCUGCCCCAGGCCCUCCUGGAUCCCCAGCCUUUGCCCCCAGCUGCCAUGAAGAUCCAGACCUUUGAGUUAGGCUUUGGAACAUGGAGACUUUCUUGGUGGGCCACGGGCAGGCGGUUAUCAGAUCGUCCACCUUGGUCUGGGAAGGUCAUGGUUCUUAAUGGUGGAGCUUUGUAGGGACUCACAACUGGGUGGGGGAGAGGAGGAGCCAUGCUGAAGAGAGGUCAGUCUCCACAGCACAGAGGUAGUGGCACCGGAGGCAGUGGGGUGGGGUGGCACGUAGGCAGCCCUUUCACAAUCCCAUGGGCUCCAGCCAGCCCUGUCAGCAGUGACCCAUUUUCUAGAGCAGGAUCCCUGGCGGGAGGUGCCCGGCCCUGUCAUUUCCCCCCUGAGGACUCCUGCCUGCCUUCGAGAAGUCUGUUUGGUCACAGAACCUUGGGGCAUUUCAUGGUGCUCCUUGGGUUCAGAGGGGCAGGAGGGCCCUCUGCUUCUCCCCUGCUUGGGCUCCAGGAGCCUGGCUUUGUUUACCAGCAUGAGAUUAGGUAACUCUGCCAACAGAACAAAGGCCCUGGCCUGCUGCCCAGAGGUUCUGGAAGUUCCAGGCACCAGGGCAGGAGAUGCGCACGUGGACCUGUGCAUACUCCAAACAGGCCAGGGAGGGCCAGCUGGCCGGAAACCUCGGUGGCCCAGGUCUGACCUAAAGGGCCCCAGGUGCCUCAGUACAGAUGUCAGUGGGUUCAGACUUCAGCCACUUUAAUCCAGAAGGCCAUGUCAAUUAUGUUCAUAAAAGCUGAGUGUUGGGAGGAAGGAGGAGCCCGGCCCCUCUUCAACAGCUUCUGGUUACACCCUAAGCUAAUCUGGUGAUCCAACAAGAGAGCUCGAACAAAUGGCAGGACUAUCUAUCUGUGUUUCCAUUUAAUAAUUUGAUAAUUUGCAAUACUUUUAAAAUGUCACAGACAAAAAGGGAAUGGUGAUCCAUGGUUUAUAAACCAUCUCCUGGGAGUGGUUAGUUCCACUGGAAGCACAAAAUAGACGUCUAACAAAGGUGAGCGGCUGACUCAGCCCCUACUCACUUCUUGCCUCUGUAGCCUAGUAGGUGGUCAAAUUGUUGGGUUUAAAUGCCUUUUAGGUGUUCUAGAUGGAAUUCCUGAAACGCAUCUCUCUAGAAGAAGAGAUGCAGUACUUAGAAAGGGACAGGAAGCAGACAACAUCUCCUGUCAUUGAAUGCUGUUUCCUGCCUUCUGAGUUUGUUUUUAUUUGUGGUUACUUAUCUUUUUCCUCCCUCCCACUUCUGUCAUCCAGUUAUCAAGUUCCCCUCCAUGGUUUCUUGUAUAUUUUUCCAAAAUACAAAUACACAGAUAUUUUAUAUGUGUGGGUAAA